UACGAAGGGUGCAAGCGUUACUCGGAAUUACUGGGCGUAAAGCGUGCGUAGGUGGUUUGUUAAGUCCGAUGUGAAAGCCCUGGGCUCAACCUGGGAAUGGCAUUGGAAACUGGCGGGCUAGAGUGCGGUAGAGGGUAGUGGAAUUCCCGGUGUAGCAGUGAAAUGCGUAGAGAUCGGGAGGAACACCAGUGGCGAAGGCGGCUACCGGGACCAGCAAUGACAUUGAGGCACGAAAGCGUGGGGAGCAAACAGG
RNAcentral lists this ribosomal RNA (253 nucleotides) under uncultured bacterium. RNAcentral's name for it is "partial 16S ribosomal RNA". It matches the Rfam family "Bacterial small subunit ribosomal RNA", at positions 524 to 776 of the family's 1533-position model. The record is from RNAcentral.